CGAGAGGGCGGGAGGUGCCUGUUUGGGGAGGGUGGGUGUCAGCUCCUAGACGCUCCCCGGCCCUCUCCGCACCCGACACCCUCUCCCCCAAGCCUCAGGGAGGUCCCGACGCGCCUGCGCACUCACAGCGACCCCUGUUGGCGCUCAGCCCUCCCUGGCCACCUCCUCCGGGAAGCUCGCUAGGGCUUCCCCGCCCCGGAAAAGAGCCCUGUAGACAAUGCCCUGAAGUGCUUUGGGCCUUCCAGGCUUCCUGCCACCACCGUCGUCACUAAGAAGACAGCGUGAAGUCAGUCCAGCGCCUGCGUUCAUGAUUUUUUACAGACGGGGCACUGAGGCUUUGAGAGGCUAAGCGAUCUGCCCAAAGUCAUACAACUACUGAAAAGCAAGGUCAGGGUUUGAUCUGAGUUUUUCAGAGUCCAGUGUCCACGGCCUUCGCCCUCACGCUGGUGGGAAGAGGAAGGAGAGGGGCGCGCAGAGGGAGUUGGCGUGGGAUGGGAAGCCCUCCCUGGGGCAGGGAGGGGCCUUGCAGCAGGAAGAGCUCUCCUGGAAGCCGGGGGACCAGCUGACCUACCCUUUGAUCUGGGGUGCGCCUCUCCCACAUGGGACCAGGGACCAGGGUCUGAGAUAGGGGCAGGAGUCUGCUGACCCUCAGGGUGGGGGGUGGGGGCACCCACACUUGCUGCUGUCCCUACCUUAGGGACCUGGGCCCAGGGAGGGGGCAAGGUCUUGUCAGACCAGGCUGGGAGCUGGAAGCUGUGGAUUAAAGAGGUCCAUUUCUGCAGCAAAAAGUUGGCGGUACAAAGGGUCUCCUGGUGAGAGGGCCCCUCCCCACUUCCCUUCCCAGGCUGGGCUGAACUGGGGGGGGGGGAAAGCACUUCUGACAAUUGUCCAUCUUCUCCCCAGUCCCUUCUCAUCUGACAGGCAAAGGGGCCAGGCCUCCCCCAGCCCAGGCUUCUCACCCCCAGUUUGCCACACCGUCCAGCUUCCCUUCAUCCUGUUGGCAGAGCCCCCCAUUUCGCCUUCUCCCCCAAGACAAACAGAAUCACCUCAUCCCACCAGCCCCUCUUCUUCUCCCCUCAGUUCCAGCAAGCCCUUUGCUUCUCAGACUUUGCUGCAUGCCCCUCCUCCCGCUGCUUCACCUGCAUUGCCUCUCCAAACCCUACAGCAACAACCAGGCCUGCAUGGCAGAAACUGCUCAGAGUAUCCACUCCCAUCCUCUUCCUUAGUAAGGAAACCAUCAAUUCUUUGGUUGCCCGCAUUCACACUCAGAAUAAAGACUACCUUUGCCAGUCUCCUCUGCAACUUGGCACGGCCAUGAGACAGGGUUCUGGCCCCGAUAUGCCAAUGAAAGUGUCGUGGAGGGGCUUUAGGAAAUCUGAAAUGGAAGAAGGCUUUUUGAGGCUCCUUUUUGCUGCUCACCGAAAUGAAAGUGUGAUGGCCCCACCUGAGCGGCAAUGAAGGUAGGGCAUCUAGAGGGCAGAGUUGAGCUCCCAGGGGAAGGGGAGCCUUCCAGGGACCCCUGCUUGGCACUGGGAG
This 1536-nucleotide long non-coding RNA is filed under the name Sus scrofa (pig). RNAcentral describes it as "lncRNA (ENSSSCG00055013674.1)". Lineage: Eukaryota; Metazoa; Chordata; Mammalia; Artiodactyla; Suidae. The record is from RNAcentral.